GAUGAACGCUGACAGAAUGCUUAACACAUGCAAGUCAACUUGAAUUUGGGUUUUUAACUUAGGUUUGGGUGGCGGACGGGUGAGUAACGCGUAAAGAACUUACCUCACAGUUAGGGACAACAUUUGGAAACGAAUGCUAAUACCUAAUAUUAUGAUAAUAGGGCAUCCUAUAAUUAUGAAAGCUAUAAGCGCUGUGAGAGAGCUUUGCGUCCCAUUAGCUAGUUGGAGAGGUAACGGCUCACCAAGGCGAUGAUGGGUAGCCGGCCUGAGAGGGUGAUCGGCCACAAGGGGACUGAGACACGGCCCUUACUCCUACGGGAGGCAGCAGUGGGGAAUAUUGGACAAUGGACCAAGAGUCUGAUCCAGCAAUUCUGUGUGCACGAUGAAGUUUUUCGGAAUGUAAAGUGCUUUCAGUUGGGAAGAAAGAAAUGACGGUACCAACAGAAGAAGUGACGGCUAAAUACGUGCCAGCCGCCGCAGUAAAAC
Molecule: ribosomal RNA, 486 nt
Filed under: uncultured bacterium
Lineage: Bacteria
Description: bacterial SSU rRNA
Rfam family: Bacterial small subunit ribosomal RNA
Source: RNAcentral